Molecule: transfer RNA, 73 nt
Filed under: Ailuropoda melanoleuca (giant panda)
Lineage: Eukaryota; Metazoa; Chordata; Mammalia; Carnivora; Ursidae
Rfam family: tRNA
About the family: Transfer RNA (tRNA) molecules are approximately 80 nucleotides in length. Their secondary structure includes four short double-helical elements and three loops (D, anti-codon, and T loops).
Source: Rfam by way of RNAcentral
GCCUGGCUGGCUCAGUCGGUGGAGCAUGAGACUCUUGAUCUCAGGGUUGUAAGUUCGAGCCCCACGCUGGGUG